Molecule: long non-coding RNA, 519 nt
Filed under: Homo sapiens (human)
Lineage: Eukaryota; Metazoa; Chordata; Mammalia; Primates; Hominidae
Description: non-protein coding lnc-ERV3-1-7:1
Source: RNAcentral
CCGCACUGUGGCUGUCACCAAGAGCCAGUUCCUCAUCAAUGGGAAACCUUUCUAUUUCCACGGUGUCAACAAGCAUGAGGAUGCGGACGUGUGUUGGGGCUCCUGGGUCCUUGUCGGGGCUGCUUCUGGUCACCCUCCACUUUCGCCUUCCCUGUGUCCUGCAGUUGAGGGCAGCUCAGGGCAAUGAGGCAAAUGGCUCCAAAUGGAGAGGGGGCUCAUGGGGUGGCUCUCCAGGGUCCUGGCUCUCAGAGGAAGUGCAGCUUCGACAGGGACAGGGGUCACUUGGCUCUGCUAUCUCCUAGAUCCGAGGGAAGGGCUUCGACUGGCCGCUGCUGGUGAAGGACUUCAACCUGCUUCGCUGGCUUGGUGCCAACGCUUUCCGUACCAGCCACUACCCCUAUGCAGAGGAAGUGAUGCAGAUGUGUGACCGCUAUGGGAUUGUGGUCAUCGAUGAGUGUCCCGGCGUGGGCCUGGCGCUGCCGCAGUUCUUCAACAACGUUUCUCUGCAUCACCACAUGC